Drosophila bipectinata is the source of this 220-nucleotide long non-coding RNA. RefSeq lists it as uncharacterized. Lineage: Eukaryota; Metazoa; Arthropoda; Insecta; Diptera; Drosophilidae. The record is from RefSeq and is a predicted model, not a curated record.
UCUCUAGCACUCUGCCUGCUUCGUUCUAAAAUAGCGAAAGAAAAGUAGGAUUUUAAUUGGUGUUUUAAUAAGAAUCUGAAGAGACAAAAAGAAUUUGUUUAAAUGAUAAAUUCUUACCAAGCUUUGCCUUUAUAUCCAAUUUUUCUGCAGAUGUCUUUCUCCCAGGCUUUCGACCUCGUUUUCCACAUUCUUUGCGGGUCUAAUAAAAUAAGAAUUUAUU